GUGGGUGUCAUGUGAUGGAGCAAAAGGAGAUACCUGAUGGCCUUAGAGACGAAUCAUGUGGCAAAUUAACACCUCCAGGAUAUGCUGGUUUGUGCGAGUCUCAUUAUAAGGAAUAUCUUGUUAGCUGUAUUAAUGCUCGGUCUCUGGAUCCAUGUGUUCUCUAUGAUCUGGCUGAGACAGUGAAUGCGCUACCUUCCUGUACUGCCUCUACAAGAUCCCAGUGAGGAUGAGGCCAGCUAUAAAGAGCGUCUCCAGGGGGUGUUAAUGUCGGAGGUUCCAUUGAGCCUGAACAUUCGGAAGCAGAAUUAAUGAUUCCUGUUCUUGGAAUUUCAUUUACACAUUUCUCUGGUAGUGCCAUAUAAAGAAGAACCUGUUUGUUAUCUAAAUCAACUUUAAAAAAGUUACACCAAAAAGAUGUAUGAUUGUAAUUACAAAAUAAAAUAUAUUAAAUGUAUCUACCAAUA
Xenopus laevis (African clawed frog) is the source of this 464-nucleotide long non-coding RNA. RefSeq lists it as uncharacterized. The transcript has 3 exons. Lineage: Eukaryota; Metazoa; Chordata; Amphibia; Anura; Pipidae. The record is from RefSeq and is a predicted model, not a curated record.